GGAGUCGGCCGGACAGUCGCGUCGCACAUGCUGCGUCGAGGAAAGUCCGGGCUCCGCAGGGCAGGGUGCCAGGUAACGCCUGGGCGGCGCGAGCCGACGGCCAGUGCAACAGAGAGCAGACCGCCGAUGGCCCGCAAGGGCACAGGCAAGGGUGAAACGGUGCGGUAAGAGCGCACCGCGUGCGGGGCCAACGCCGCACGGCACGGUAAACCCCACCCGGAGCAAGACCGAAUAGGGGAACGAUAACGCGGCCCGCGUUGUUCCCGGGUAGGUCGCUGGAGCCAGGCGGCGACGCCUGGCCGAGAGGAAUGACUGUCGCGCCGCAAGGCGUACAGAACCCGGCUUACAGGCCGACUCCACCU
RNAcentral lists this RNase P RNA (362 nucleotides) under Fulvimonas soli. Its description in RNAcentral is "Bacterial RNase P class A". It matches the Rfam family "Bacterial RNase P class A". From Rfam's summary of the family: Ribonuclease P (RNase P) is a ubiquitous endoribonuclease, found in archaea, bacteria and eukarya as well as chloroplasts and mitochondria. Lineage: Bacteria; Pseudomonadati; Pseudomonadota; Gammaproteobacteria; Lysobacterales; Rhodanobacteraceae. The record is from Rfam by way of RNAcentral.